Podarcis lilfordi (Lilford's wall lizard) is the source of this 3136-nucleotide non-coding RNA. Lineage: Eukaryota; Metazoa; Chordata; Lepidosauria; Squamata; Lacertidae. The record is from the annotation of a GenBank genome assembly.
CUCCCCCGCCUCAAAACAGGGCGUAUUGAUUGGAAGCAAGGUGUGCAUGUUAAUUGUAAGGUCAACCUGUAACGGUCCACCUGCCUUUCCACUGCUCCGCGGGCCACUCCGUGGCGGGGAAAGUGAUUGGGCGAGGCGCGUGUCAGUCACGGGGACCAGAGGUCUGGUUCUCAGCCAACCUCCAUCCCGCAGAAAAGCUUCCGAGUUGCCAUUUUGUAUGAGUUCCCCCCUCACGCGCUGCUCGGGUCCGCAGGCGAUCCAGAAGCAGAACAGGGCGGCCUCUGGCCCUCGGCUUGCCUUGCGAAGGCGGCGGGCCCCAAAAGGCUCGACCUCGGUGCGGGGAAGCGAGGAGCUUCCGCCGAAGAGAAACAAAGGUCGCCGGGCGCCCCAAGCACCCGCGCUGUCGCUCCCGCGGCCGCAUCCUGCGCCCACCUCCGCGCCACACGCCCCUGGACUCCCCAGGGACGAGGAUCCCGUAGUCCUUCUGGCGCCCCUGACUCUCCCCGGCCCAGCCAACCAUGCCCAGUGGGCAGGGACAGGUGGGAGGUGGUGGGAGCAGGGCCGGCCCACCCAGGAGGCAAGGUGAGGCGACUGCCUCUGGCGGCAGAAUCCAUGGGGCGGCAGGUCCCAAUGUGGACCUCUAUCCCCACCCCGCACCUGUGUUCCUGAUCUAGAUCUUUGCUCACCCCUUCUUCCCUGGCAGGGAGGGGAGGAGCGCCAUUUUGUGGUUCACCUCAGGUGCUGAAGUGUCUUGGGCCGGUCCUAGUUCGGAGUCAAAAAACCACUCUUUUGACCAGCAGCAGAUUAUGGACAUAGCUGUCAACUUUUUCCUUUUCUUGCAAGGAAUCCUAUUCGGAAUAAGGGAAUUUCCCUUAAAAAAAGGGAAACGUUGACAGCUAUGAUUAUGGAGCCCCCUGCGCACAAAGUGUGUCCUCUGUAACCACUGAGUUACAGCCUCCGCCAAUAAGAAGGUGCCUUGUACCAAGCCCCAACCGCUGACAGAUCUUUCCAGGGUCCUUGGGAAGGCCUCUCCCAACCAUGCUCCCUGAGGCUCUGCUCUUAACCAAAGAUGUCAGGAAAUGAGCCUGGGGGUUUUAUGCCUGUGCUUCGCCACUUGAGCUAAAGCCCUCUUCUCCACUGCUCACACACAGUUAAACUACCCCAGGGCCAAUAAAAAUUUCUAAACUCCAGGACCCACUUGGAGCAGCAGAAAAUCACUGAGUCAUGAGAUGGAGACAAAGUUUGGCAUAAUCUGUUGGCAAUCAAUGUCUCUUUCUACUGAGAUCUAAUCCAAUUUUUGAAAUCGCUAGCUCUUUUGCUACCAUGUUUUCCUUGUGGCGGGGAGUUACAUAGCUUGGCUUUCUUCCCAUUUUAGGCUGAAUCAUCUGAUCUAGAGGCUCUACUGAAGAAGGCUUUUCUUUUAUAUCACCCUCCCUUUUUACUAGGGCUGUGCAUCAAAUUCAGCCAAAGUCUGAAUCUUGAGCCAAUUCGGCAGAGUUGGAUGGAGACAGCUGCAGAUCACUCAUGAUUGGGCCUCCCAGAGUGAUCCAGGGCUGUUGGGAUGUGGGUGUGCUGGGGGUUUAGUGGAAAGAAGGAGCUUUGACUUUGUGCAUCUGAUCCCAGCAGGAGAACACACACAGUCAGACUGACCAGGAUUGAACCCUCUGCUCAUCAGCUAGUGAGAAGGUUACCAGUCCUGCUGGCUUCAGGGAUCUGUUUAGCCAACGUGUUCCCUACAGGGGGAAAGUGUGGUUCAGGGCGGGUGGGAGGAGCAACACAGUAUCUCCUUCCUCCACCCCCGCCCAACCAUAUUUAUUUAUUUCAUAAAAUUUAAACACCGCUUGAUUGUUAAAAACCACAAAGCAGUUUACAAAAAGAUGAAAUGAUAAAAUCAAAAGAAACAUGUCAAUUCAUUAUACUGUAAUUGAUAGCAAUUGUUUAUUUUUAUUAUUUUAUUUAUUUGUAUACUGCCUUAUGGUAUACUUUUCCCUCAGGGAAACUUUCCUUCCUUCCUUCCUUCCUUCCUCCCUCCUGUGUGCAAGGAGUUAUUGUUGGUUCUAGCAAUAGCCCGCUUGGAAGAAUCUGGCACAACUUGUAGGCAGGGCAGGCAAGUGAGGAGACACCAGGCAGGCUGAGGCCGUGUUUUAAAAAUACUAACAUACGCUAUGAUAGCCAGUCCUGUACUGACUUCAGCAGUAGAGUAUAAACAUUUUUCUUUAUACAGCCUUAGAAUGUAUAGUAAUUUUACACACUACCCCCAAACUCUGCUGAGCGGCAGCAAUAUUCCAGGGGGUUCCAGGCACUCACCCAGGGUUGUGUUUUCAUUAGAAAAUCAAGGCACAGCAGAGACUGAAAACUGCAGUCUUUUAUUCACAUAAAGGUAAAGGGGCCCCUGACCAUUAGGUCCAGUUGCGGAUGACUCUGGGGUUGCAGCACUCAUCUCGUUUUACUGGCCAAGGGAGCCGGCGUUCAGCUUCCGGGUCAUGUGGCCAGCAUGACUAAGCCGCUUGUGGCUAACCAGAGCAGCACACAGAAAUGCCAUUUACCUUCCCGCUGGAGAAACUUAUUUAUCUACUUGCACUUUGAUGUGCUUUCGAACUGCUAGGUUGGCAGGAGCAGGGACCGAGCAACGGGAGCUUACCCCGUUGUGGGGAUUCGAACCGCCGACUUUCUGAUCGGAAGCCCUAGCUCUGUGGUUUAGACCACAGUGCCACCCCUGAAGCCUUCAUCUCAAGAGGGGCUUGUCCUUCCCAGCACCAUAGCAUUUGAUUCAGAGGCAUCCUAAGCACCAUCCCCCUAUCUCUCUGUAACAGUCUGCUCCAGCCAGCCAGCAUUAUUAUCGGUCCUUUUUUUCUUAAAAAAUGUUUAGGGGUACUCUCAUUUUGACUCAAUAAAAUCACCAUUUUAUAGUUCAAAUUGGGAAAAAUACAGUAAAUGGACAAAAGUACAAAGAUUCACAAAAUGUUUAGGGGUAUGCAUACCCCUGCAUUCCCCCAGAAAAAAGCACUGAUUAUCAUUAUUAACUUUGUAUUAUUAUUUAUUAAAUUUGUAUACUGUACCGCCCUUCACAACAUAAAAACAAAAAGUUAGAACACAAAAUAUAUAAUAAAAGCAAGAGCUGCUGCCUUUGAAUCCC